GUGGGCGUGGCUAAGAGCGGAAGUGGGGCUUUGAAGCCGCCAUGCGGGACCGGACGCGGGAAAUCCUCCAGGUCUGCGGGGGGCGCGGGAAAAAAAAAAAAAGCCGGGCGCUCUUAAAGGGGCCGCGCUUAAUUAAUGCGCUAAUUAGCGCUCAUUAACGAGGGGGGCCUCCGCCCGCAGGAUUACAUCCCCAGCGAUGAGGAAGGAGAAGAGACGGUGGCGUUGGUGGGGUUGAAGGCGUCCAGCGAGGAUGAGACGCUGUUGAAGGCGCGGGCGGUGCGGGCGGCGCUGCGCUCCAUGGAGCACAAGGUGGCGGCGCUGGAGGCCCUGCAGGAGGCGCUGCUGGGAAACGCCCUGCCUGACAACGAGCAGAAGCGAGCUCUGCAGGCGCAGCAGGAGGAGCUGCAGCAGCUCACCAACCAGACCCGCAGCCACCUCCAAGGUGGGACCCCAAAAUCCCCCAAAUCCCCCCCAAAAUCCCCCAUUUCCCCUCCAAAAUCCCUUAUCUCCCCCCCAAAAUCCCUUUGUUCCCCUCCAAGAAACCCCACAAGUCCAAAAAAUCCCAUUAUAGCAUCCCCAAAUCCCCAAAAUUCACCCCAAAAUCCCUCAUUUCUCCCUCAAAAUCCUCUUUUUCCCUUCCAAGAAGCCCCACAAGUCCAAAAAAUCCCAUUAUAGCAUCCCAAAAUCCCCCAUUUCCCCCCCCAAAAUCCCCUUUUCCUCCCCCAAAAUCCACAUAGGGUCCCAAAAUCCCCCGAAUCCACCCCAAAAUCCCCCAUUUCCCCCUCAAAAUCCCAUUUUUCCCCUCCAAGAAAACCCACAAGUCCAAAAAAUCCCAUUAUAGCAUCCCAAAAUCCCCCAAAUCCACCCCAAAAUCCCCUUUUUCCCCUCCAAGAAACCCCACAAGUCCAAAAAAUCCCAUUAUAGCAUCCCCAAAUCCCCCAUUUCCCCCCCUAAAAUCCCCUUUUCCUCCCCCAAAAUCCCCAUAGGGUCCCCAAAUCCCCCAAAUCUGCCCCAAAAUCCCCCAUUUCCCCCUCAAAAUCCCAUUUUUCCCCUCCAAGAAAACCCACAAGUCCAAAAAAUCCCAUUAUAGCAUCUCCAAAUCCCCUAAAUCUGCCCCAAAAUCCCCUAUUUCUUCCCCAAAAUCCCAUUUUUCCCCUCCAAAAAACCCCACAAGUCCAAAAAAUCCCAUUAUAGCAUCCCAAAAUCCCCCAUUUCCCCUCCAAAAUCCC
RNAcentral lists this long non-coding RNA (1229 nucleotides) under Chrysolophus pictus (golden pheasant). RNAcentral's name for it is "lncRNA (ENSCPIG00010006388.1)". Lineage: Eukaryota; Metazoa; Chordata; Aves; Galliformes; Phasianidae. The record is from RNAcentral.